Molecule: ribosomal RNA, 660 nt
Filed under: uncultured bacterium
Lineage: Bacteria
Description: bacterial SSU rRNA
Rfam family: Bacterial small subunit ribosomal RNA
Source: RNAcentral
AAGCGGCGAACGGGUGAGUAACACGUGGGUAAUCUGCCCUCGGCAUCGGGAUAGCCCGGGGAAACCCGGAUUAAUACCGAAUAGACUCCGGAGCUUUCGGGCGCCGGAGAAAAGGGUGGCUUCGGCUUCCGGCUGAGGAUGAGCCCGCGGCGGAUUAGCUUGUUGGCGGGGUAACGGCCCACCAAGGCGACGAUCCGUAGCUGGUCUGAGAGGACGAUCAGCCACACUGGGACUGAGACACGGCCCAGACUCCUACGGGAGGCAGCAGUGGGGAAUCUUGCGCAAUGGGCGAAAGCCUGACGCAGCGACGCCGCGUGCGGGAAGAAGGCCUUCGGGUUGUAAACCGCUUUCAGGAGGGACGAAGCCACUCGGGUUAAUAGCCCAGAGGGUGACGGUACCUCCAGAAGAAGCCCCGGCUAACUACGUGCCAGCAGCCGCGGUAAUACGUAGGGGGCUAGCGUUGUCCGGAUUUAUUGGGCGUAAAGAGCGUGUAGGCGGCCAGGUAGGUCCGUUGUGAAAACUCGAGGCUCAACCUCGAGACGUCGGCGGAAACCCCUUGGCUAGAGUCCGGAAGAGGAGAGUGGAAUUCCUGGUGUAGCGGUGAAAUGCGCAGAUAUCAGGAAGAACACCCGUGGCGAAGGCGGCUCUCUGGGACGGUAC